CAAAAUGCGAUAAGUAAUGNGAAUUGCAGAAUUCAGUGAAUCAUCGAAUCUUUGAACGCACAUUGCG
This 67-nucleotide ribosomal RNA is filed under the name uncultured Fusarium. RNAcentral describes it as "partial 5.8S ribosomal RNA". It matches the Rfam family "5.8S ribosomal RNA", at positions 49 to 115 of the family's 154-position model. Rfam says of the family: 5.8S ribosomal RNA (5.8S rRNA) is a component of the large subunit of the eukaryotic ribosome. It is transcribed by RNA polymerase I as part of the 45S precursor that also contains 18S and 28S rRNA. The record is from RNAcentral. Lineage: Eukaryota; Fungi; Ascomycota; Sordariomycetes; Hypocreales; Nectriaceae.